This is a long non-coding RNA of Xenia sp. Carnegie-2017, 413 nucleotides long. RefSeq lists it as uncharacterized. The transcript has 3 exons. The record is from RefSeq and is a predicted model, not a curated record. Lineage: Eukaryota; Metazoa; Cnidaria; Anthozoa; Malacalcyonacea; Xeniidae.
GCUUGUGUUGUUCAAUCAUCAGUAGAUUGAACGUUGCCUGGACACUAUUGUGUUUUCGAGGCUUUGCCUGUGCCUAGAAAUGGAAUUUUUCAUUUGACUAUUCCAUUUUUUUGAGGCUGUAGGCGUCCUGGCACAUAGCAAUAUGUGUUUCGAGGAGAAAUUUAAUGGUGCCUGCACAUUUGUGUUCGAGGCUUAAAAUGUAACAUGAAAUUAUAACCUAGUUUACGUAACUAAACAAUUAAAAGAAUGAGAAGUAAUUCGAAAUGCAAGUCUUCUAUAAAAAAUACUCAACAAAACAGCCCAAUUGGACGACAUAAGAAAACUAUUUUGUGGUCCUAACAUUGAAAGCACUUUCAAUCAGAUCGAGCGUUGUAGUGACAUUAUGAAUAUUGCCGGGAUGAUCUGAAUGCGGA